GUGCUCUUAUAAAAGACUCAAAAGGGCUAGCGCUCUCUCUCUCUCUCUCUCUCUCUCUCUUUCUCUCUCAAUCCCUCUCCCUCCGCCUCACCCCCUACUCCAUGUGAGGAUACAGUGAGAAGGUGGCCAUCUACAAGCCAGGAAGAGGACUCUCAUCGUGAACUGAAUCUGCCAACACCAAGAUCUUGGACUUCCCGGCCUCCAGAACUGUGACAAAUGAAUGCUUGUUUAAGCAUUUUAAGUCACCUAGUCCAUGGUACUUUGUUAUAGCAGCCCAAACAGACUAAGACAGAAAUCCAAGAUCCCCCUGCACUACAGCAUCAGACAGUGAGGCUGCUGUCUCUCCUGUCUCCUCCACGUUGCCCAGGAAUUCUCCAGAGGUUGCCUUAAGUGCAUCAAGAAUUGGUCUCGGUCCUCACUCGCUGUUAAGCUAGCCGGCCCAGCACUCCGAACUGCUGAGAAAAAGCCCUGUGAGGACACCGUGAGAAGGUGGUGGUCUGCAAGCCAGGAAGGGGAGCCUCAUUGGAAACCAGCCCUGGCAAUUCGAUCUUGCUUGAACUUGUGGCCUCCAGAACCAUGAGAAAUAGAUUCCUAUUGUUUAAGCCACCCUGUGUAUGGCAUUCUGUUAUGGCAGCCCAAGGAGACAAUGUGGUACUGAAUCAAGCAUCCAGGGACAGUUUACCUUGCCAGAAAAGGGCGCAGAAAGAUCUUCUGGGGCUAAGCAGAAGCAGACACUGAUGCAGAAGUUCUAACUGGGACUCUGAAUCAAGGUUAUGGUAAAGACCUCAGGGAUCUUGGGAAGAUCAUUGGACAUGCUUUGUUCCUUAAUGAGGGAGACAGAUAUGGGCGCUAAACUCCAGGAGAUGCUCCAUUCCUUACCUGCAUCAACUCUCUCCAAGGCUAUCCUUAGGUCCUCAUCUGCCUUGAAUUUGGGAAGUCAAGACUUCCAGAAACCUUCAGGCAGGAGUCUGCCCCAGGAGGCUGGCCUCAUGGCAGCUACUCUCCAUUCUUCCCCAUCAGCCUUCUGACACCACCACAUCCCCAAGGCCUGGCACAGCACCAGGCAUGUGAAGUGGAAUCCAGAGCAGCAGAUAGGACUUUUCCUUUUUACCAUGCACACUUGCUGUAUUCAUCAAGUGUCACUUUGGUGCUCGGCACUGUGCUAGUGCAGCAGCCUGGGAACUCAGGAUAAUGGAUCCUCGAACAUGCAUAAUGCAGGAUGGAAAAGCAUCUUUCUCCUCUGGGGCUGGCAAUGUAAUUUCAUACUAAAUUUACUGCGGUUUAUGUAAUUCUUUUCAUUCACACCAGAAGGAGUUUCUUUGCUGCUUCCCUUUUCAGAAACUUGGAGACCAUAUAUCUUUGCAAAGUAGAUUUUUAAAAAUAAAACAGAGAAGAAAAACCAGAGAAGCCCUUAAGUUUCCGGCCUUCUGCCUGGACCAGCUUAUUAUGCUUCUUCCUUUCCAGAAUUGAUAUGGUAAAUGUUAAUGCAGUAGCACUGGCUCUGAAAAGCCUAGGUCUUCCAAGAAAGCAACAUUCAAGGAGGAAUUCUGCAGCUUCCUCUCCUCUGGGGAGUUGGAGGAGCCAGAGGUUGGGGAAAAGACAGAGACAGAAUUGCCCCAUCAGUGACUUUCAGGAGAAUGUGAACAGGUGACACAGAUCUUAUGUCCAUGAGUCCCUACUCUUUUUCCACUGUCUGUCUCCUGAGCCAUCUCUGAUUCCUUCAAAGGCCUUUGCUGGCAGUGUCCAAAGUGUCCAAGCUCCUAUGUCUCCUGGAAGAAUCUACCUCUUUCUGCUCCUCAAUGAAGGAAGGACAGAGCCAGGAGAUGGAGCAGAAGAGGGGCAGGCCAAGCUCACCAGAGGGCAUAUGUCCUGGAUACUGGGAUCCUAGCCAGUCUGGACGUUGGUCCUUUCAAAAUCCUCACCACCACAUUUCUAAUACUGGGAAUAUCGAUCUUGAGCUGAACUUAGAAUAAAAUCCUCCCUCAAAUUGCACAAAGCCCUGUAAGCAGCUUCCUCCAGCCCUUUUUCCAACCCCAUCAGAUGCCAUCGCCUAUCACACCUGGGCACAGUGAUGUCGUUUCUGCUUCUUUAACACACCAGGCUCUUUCCUGCCUUCGUGGAAGCCAUCCCCUUUACUUGGAAGUCUGUGUUGUAUACAUCAGCUGGCUCCUCAAGCUUUGCAUGGGAACCUAAUUGUCUUCUCGUCAGAGAGGUCUCCCCGACCACCCUUUCUACAGCAGAUCUCCCCCACCUCCCAUUCCCUCACAUGUUAAAUUUCCUUCAUAGUAUUUUGCACAAGUCAUGAUCUCCUUUAUGUGCAAUUUGUCUACUGUCUGAGUCCUCCACUGCAAUGUUCUCCAAGGGUGGAGACCACAUCUUUCUUGUCCCUGCUCAAUCUCCAGUGCUUAACACAGGGCUCAGACUCAACAAAUAUUUAUCAAACGGAUAACUGAAUUCCAGCUGUCUAUGGUGCACACAGACUGCGAACUCUUGAGGACAGGGGUUUCUUUCCUCUCUGCAGCCCCAGCACAUGGUGCAGAGAAGACUCUGGCACUAUUUAUGAAUAAAUGAAAUUGUCCCCCUCAUUCUGUAUUAGAGCCGUUCUACUCCUAACUCCCGUAGAGGAGUCCAUCUGAUCAACCAGAGACCAGGAAGGCAGAGGAGGCCAGGCAUGCUGCAGGCCACAUGCCAGUGUCCAAUUAUCAGGUGACAUCAUCUCCAGAUGAGUUGGAAAGAAAAUGAUUAUCGUAAACAGUCACAGCCCAUUGACUAUUUCUCUGGCAUUUAUAAUCACUGUUAGACAGCUGCGCCUGGUCCCUUUCCCACGCCUGCUCUAGAGAGCUGAGGUUUGCUGUUGGGUUUUGGUGAGGGUGUUUUUCCUGGCUCAUUGCUGGAAAAGGCUUUGGAGAGCUUCUAGUAUCUAGCCCAACCUCUCACCCUUCUCAGUCCCUCCACCCCUCCAAGGUCAAGGAACACACCAUUUCAAGAGGCAGGGCCUCCUGUCCUGCACAGCUCUGGGCUUUGUGAUUUCUUGCCCAGGUGGAAGCCAAAAAGUCCUUCCUGUGACUUCAUCUGUUGGUCUAGACUCUCCCACCUGGGACCACAUUCUAAGGAUGGCCCCAUAGACAUAUAAGAUGAUACUGGGUCUUUCUGUGGCCCCAGCGAUUAUUCUACCCCAGUGACACUUCCUGUUCCUUUGUCACUGCUGUUCAUUUCUUCUUUCCUGUGGGCCCCAGGCCUCUCCAAGGGGGCCUCUGUUCACACUGGCUGGCAUGCUCUUGCCCCAAACCCAAUCAGUAGGAAGUGGGAACCCAGUAUCUCAAAUUCCCUCUGUUGUGUUUAAGGUACCUUCCCUACCCCUAGGGUUGCAGAAGGAAGGAGGAGUUAUUUUGCUUCCUUGAUCAGGGGUGAUCAAGAAACCAAAAAUGAUGAAGUUUCAGAAUCCUACUAUCUUUUUACACAUCAUGGUCCCGAACCUGUAACUGCCCUUCUUGCUAAGAUGGUAACUGGGCACCUCAUUGAGGAACGACUUUUACUAUCUUGAGGGUGGGAUUUGUAACAGUCCCCUUUCUUCUAACUCUUCCCUCUUAGGCCCCUCACUCUGGAAGAUGUUGCUAUUAGGUGUGCCUUAGUCUCAGGUGGGCAGUUUGCUUCUUCAAGUGGCUUUAAAUUGGGGAGCAGCCAACCCUUGCCUUUAUCUCUAAGGAAUAGCACAGCUGUGGGGAUUUCCUUAUAGUCCCGACCCUCCUCUUAGGAGAGGUUAGCAGCCCUUGUCCCCAAAUCAUUCUCAUGUGCCAUGGUCUCAAGUCCCUUCUCCUGCCUGACAGUUUCCCUCUGGUCAUUCUUUAGCCCAUCAGUGUCAGGAAUAAUAAUAAUGGAUUGUUGUUAUGAGAUUAAGCCAGUGAUAUAAGAAUACCCAAAUCCUGCCUUCAAACAAUCUGUAUCUCCAUAUGUUGGCUUGUUUGCUUGUUUCUUUC
This is a long non-coding RNA of Balaenoptera acutorostrata (minke whale), 3977 nucleotides long. RefSeq lists it as uncharacterized. NCBI's taxonomy places the organism in Eukaryota, Metazoa, Chordata, Mammalia, Artiodactyla, Balaenopteridae. The transcript has 9 exons. The record is from RefSeq and is a predicted model, not a curated record.